ACUGGAGGGGCACUGCAGCUCAGAUAGCACUCGAGGAGGAAGCAAAUCGAUGUUUCAGGUAAUGUUAGAAGGUGAUUCAUCAUACUAUUUGCAACUUUAUUCUAUCUGAACGUUUUAGAAGAUACCAUUAUCCUUUCCUCAAAUCCCUGCGUUACUAGUCCCAAUAUCCAGAGGCUUCCUAAAGACUCAAGUUGCAGGAUGUUAAGGGCUUUCCAUCAGUGACUGUCAAAGUUGAACAUGAUGCAGAGAGAUAACAGUGACUCCUUUCAACAUGAAUGCAAGUCCAUCAUCUUCGGAUUAAAUAUUUCGAACACAGACUGGAAGCAUAACAUUGUUGAUUAAAUUUGUGGACUGGGACACAAACAAUGGAAGUGAAGAGCCAGGAGGGAAAAAAAAAUUGGAGCAGAGAGAUGAAAAAAGGCAAGCCUGGAGAAGAAAAUGAAAGAUGAUGAAAUGUGUGGUGUUACAAUUUUGACAGGAUUAUUUAUUCCAAACCAACAAUGAGUUUUCAUGGUUUCAGGGUAAAAUAGUACAUCGUAGUGAUGUCACUGGACUAGUAAUUAAGAGCUCUGGCAAAAUGCUUUUAAAUAACAUUGUGUUUGCUGGUGUAACUUGAAUUCAAUUUCUAAA
Molecule: long non-coding RNA, 630 nt
Organism: Stegostoma tigrinum
Lineage: Eukaryota; Metazoa; Chordata; Chondrichthyes; Orectolobiformes; Stegostomatidae
Exons: 3
Source: RefSeq, a predicted model, not a curated record